Molecule: unclassified non-coding RNA, 320 nt
Filed under: uncultured bacterium
Lineage: Bacteria
Description: contains 16S-23S intergenic spacer region
Source: RNAcentral
CACCAAAACGCCUCUGCUCUUGCUCGCUGCAUCCGCUUCAUGAAUAAUCCGGGCUAGGAUCCAAAAUUUUGCAUCGCCUGUGGAGUUUUGGAUAUAAUCCCGGUCGAAUUUUACAAGAGACGAACAUGACUCGUUGAAAAUCGAGCCAGUUUCGUGUGCUUCGCCUUCAUCUUUUUUCCGGAACAAGAACUGCAAGGCCAAAGACGAAACACUUGAGCUGCUCCCACGGAUAUUCGGCCGGAAUGACCUUCAGACUCAGAUCAGGCAAAUUAGCUAGCCUACUCUGCAACUGGAAAUGCUGGGACUCUAAGUCGGACCGC